GCCGGGCAUGGUGGCGCAUGCCUGUAAUCCCAGCUACUUGGGAGGCUGAGGCAGGAGAAUCGCUUGAACCUGGGAGGCAGAGGUUGCAGUGAGCUGAGAUCGUGCCACUGCACUCAAGCCUGGGUGACAGAGCGAAACUCCGUCUCAA
Homo sapiens (human) is the source of this 148-nucleotide non-coding RNA. It matches the Rfam family "Metazoan signal recognition particle RNA". From Rfam's summary of the family: The signal recognition particle (SRP) is a universally conserved ribonucleoprotein. It is involved in the co-translational targeting of proteins to membranes. The record is from Rfam. NCBI's taxonomy places the organism in Eukaryota, Metazoa, Chordata, Mammalia, Primates, Hominidae.